This 583-nucleotide ribosomal RNA is filed under the name uncultured bacterium. Its description in RNAcentral is "partial 16S ribosomal RNA". It matches the Rfam family "Bacterial small subunit ribosomal RNA", at positions 355 to 932 of the family's 1533-position model. The record is from RNAcentral.
UGGGGAAUUUUGGACAAUGGGUGCAACCCUGAUCCAGCCAUCCCGCGUGUGCGAUGAAGGCCUUCGGGUUGUAAAGCACUUUUGGCAGGAGGAAAGACAGCCUGGGAUAAUACCCCCGGGCGACUGACGGUACCUGCAGAAUAAGCACCGGCUAACUACGUGCCAGCAGCCGCGGUAAUACGUAGGGUGCAAGCGUUAAUCGGAAUUACUGGGCGUAAAGCGUGCGCAGGCGGUUCGGAAAGAAAGGUGUGAAAUCCCAGGGCUUAACCUUGGAACUGCACUUUUAACUACCGAGCUAGAGUACGUCAGAGGGGGGUAGAAUUCCACGUGUAGCAGUGAAAUGCGUAGAGAUGUGGAGGAAUACCGAUGGCGAAGGCAGCCCCCUGGGAUGAUACUGACGCUCAUGCACGAAAGCGUGGGGAGCAAACAGGAUUAGAUACCCUGGUAGUCCACGCCCUAAAACGAUGUCAACUAGCUGUUGGGGUUUUAUUAACCUUAGUAGCGCAGCUAACGCGUGAAGUUGACCGCCUGGGGAGUACGGUCGCAAGAUUAAAACUCAAAGGAAUUGACGGGGUCAUAGCUG